CCUACGGGUGGCAGCAGUGAGGAAUAUUGGUCAAUGGGCGCGAGCCUGAACCAGCCAAGUCGCGUGAAGGAUGACUGCCCUACGGGUUGUAAACUUCUUUUGUAAAGGAAUAAAGUGAGGCACGUGUGCCUUUUUGUAUAGUCUUUGUGAAUAAAGAUCGGGUAACUCCGUGCCAGGAGGCGCGGGAAUAAGGAGGAUCCGAGCGUUAUCCGGAUUUAGUUGGUUUAAAGGGAGCGUAGAGGGGUUUAUAAGUCCGUUGUGAAAGUUUGGGGCUCAACCGUAAAAUUGCAAUUGAUACUGGCAGCCUUGAGUACAGUUGAGGUAGGCGGAAUUCGUGGUGUAGCGGUGAAAUGCUUAGAUAUCACGAAGAACUCCGAUUGCGAAGGCAGCCUACUAACCUGCCACUGACAUUGAUGCUCGAAAGUGUGGGUAUCAAACAGGAUUAGAUACCCUUGUAGUC
This 460-nucleotide ribosomal RNA is filed under the name uncultured bacterium. RNAcentral's name for it is "partial 16S ribosomal RNA". It matches the Rfam family "Bacterial small subunit ribosomal RNA", at positions 338 to 795 of the family's 1533-position model. The record is from RNAcentral.